CCUACGGGUGGCAGCAGUGAGGAAUAUUGGUCAAUGGACGAGAGUCUGAACCAGCAAAGUAGCGUGAAGGAUGACUGCCCUAUGGGUUGUAAACUUCUUUUAUUUGGGAAUAAAAUGUUCCACGUGUGGGAUUUUGUAUGUACCAUAUGAAUAAGGAUCGGCUAACUCCGUGCCAGCAGCUGCGGUAAUACGGAGGAUCCGAGCGUUAUCCGGAUUUAUUGGGUUUAAAGGGAGCGUAGGUGGAUUGUUAAGUCAGUUGUGAAAGUUUUCGGCUCAACCGUAAAAUUGCAGUUGAAACUGGCAGUCUUGAGUACAGUGGAGGUGGGCGGAAUUCGUGGUGUAGCGGUGAAAUGCUUAGAUAUCACGAAGAACACCGAUGGCGAAGGCAGUUCACUGGACUGCAACUGACACUGAGGCUCGAAAGUGUGGGUAUCAAACAGGAUUAGAUACCCCGGUAGUC
RNAcentral lists this ribosomal RNA (460 nucleotides) under uncultured bacterium. RNAcentral describes it as "partial 16S ribosomal RNA". It matches the Rfam family "Bacterial small subunit ribosomal RNA", at positions 338 to 795 of the family's 1533-position model. The record is from RNAcentral.